GAUUCUAAAUGUGUUGACUGCAAUUCAACGUUCAGUUGCUCGCUUAAGAGCGAAACCUGUAUCAUCGGAGGAAAAUGUUACGUUGCAAACGAGACAAACCCUAAUAAUCCAUGCCAACGCUGUGAUCCCGCUUACGACGCUGUGGGAUGGUUCACUCAAGCUACAAGCUGCUCGAUAGAUGGCGUGUGUGACCCAGAUAGAAACAUCAGACCUGGAUUCUCUUGCCUGUACUGCGACUUUAACAUCAACGAAAAUGAAUGGACA
Long non-coding RNA from Lingula anatina, 264 nucleotides. The record is from RefSeq and is a predicted model, not a curated record. Lineage: Eukaryota; Metazoa; Brachiopoda; Lingulata; Lingulida; Lingulidae.